AAGGCUUUAGCUUAAUAAAAGCGCUUGAGUUGCAUUCAGGAAAUAUGGGGUAGAUACUCAUAAGUCUU
This 68-nucleotide transfer RNA is filed under the name Anolis valencienni. RNAcentral describes it as "tRNA-Ala". It matches the Rfam family "tRNA". From Rfam's summary of the family: Transfer RNA (tRNA) molecules are approximately 80 nucleotides in length. Lineage: Eukaryota; Metazoa; Chordata; Lepidosauria; Squamata; Anolidae. The record is from RNAcentral.